RNAcentral lists this long non-coding RNA (2811 nucleotides) under Rattus norvegicus (Norway rat). RNAcentral describes it as "long non-coding RNA NONRATT033553". Lineage: Eukaryota; Metazoa; Chordata; Mammalia; Rodentia; Muridae. The record is from RNAcentral.
GAAAGACACGGUUCAGUGUCUGUCUGUCAGAACCGUAUCUGCUGUUCAGGCUGACUCAUCUAGUCUGGAGGAGGGGCUAUCUUCAUUUCUAAUUGAGGCUGUGGAGUCCAGGGACGAGACCUGACUGACUUGUCUCAGAGGUACUUCCUGAACAGUCUUUCUCUCACCGUGGACCAAAGGUUUGGCCAGAGCUAUGUAGCUGUCAAGCUCUAGAGAAAAUGAGGGGCGUAUUUCUAAAAGGGCAGAGGGAAACAUAGCCAGAAGAGGCAGACAGGCGGAUGAAAAUAUCAAACGGUUCCAGCGUGCACUGAAGGAUCAGAUGUGUGGAGAGUAGAGGCCAGGGAGGGACUGACUGCAGGGGGAUUGCCAGCUCCUCUGAGAAGCCUUUCCCAGAGGCCUGCUUUGGCUCCUGACGUCCUUGUUCGUGUUCUCUGUAGCCGAUGGCAUGUAUAUUACCUAAUCACAGCAGCUUUGAAGGUGAAAGUUCCUCUGGUUCAUCCUGUUUCCUUCCUUCCGGUUGUGAACAUGGACUUACUGUUUGGAUGAAGAAAUGAAGAAACGGGAGAAAUACAGACAUAGAGAAGGAAGGUCAGAGGUUCUUCCUAGAAAUUUGUCUUCCAGUGAGGCAGUGGGCUUCAGAACUCCAAGAUCAUGCAGAAGAGCACAUGAGCGUCUGCUCUCAUCAGCCAGGGUGGCUGGUUCCCCUCACACUGGGAAUCUUAGUGCUAAGCUCUCAAAACCCAGUACUGCAAUAGAGGAAGGUGUCAAGACUCUUCUUCCAAUGAGACAGAUGUUUCUACUUUUCAAGCAGUUCUCUCUUCCGGACAUCCCAUGACCAUCUGUUUAAGGCAAGUAUGUUACCUGGUAUAAACAGAUAAAGAAAUUAGAGCUUGGAGGAGACAGUGAUCCAUUGAGGGGAGUCCAACCAACCAAUCAUUGUCAGGGCUAGGUCUACUUCAUUUCCAACUCAUCUUAGCAUCUAAAAUGUUAUGGGUAACACAGAAGGAAACACACCCAUUUCCAUCUUUCUUCUUCUCCAAAUCCAUUGGAGGAAAAGAGGGAUGGAAAUGGGGUGACUUUCUCCUCCCUUGACAGUCACACUGACAAGUACCCUCUUCCCUUCUGCUUUCAGUCACCAAAAAACCAGCCUCAGUGAACACACCCAUGUUAACUGUUUUAUUUCAGCCAGAUGUGCUGCAUCCCAUGGCAGAAAUUCCAUGAAAGUGAGUAAGCCACGAUUCCCUGGUAUGGAUCUAGGUUUACCCUGGAAAGUCUGCAGCGUUCUUUCCUCUAACUGUGUCCUCUAACUGGCCACACUCGAACUAAGGAUCCCAAGAUCGUUUCUCUGGAUGAGCUUAGGUCAGGAAAUGCUCCCCACUUUAGGGCACCACAGCUGGUGCUAGGCCUCUUGGCCUCCCCUUUUAAUUCUGAAACACUGACUUCUCCUAUUUAUUUGGCUGUUAUAAUUUAUGCUUUUGCCUUUUUUCUGGCUGUCCUAAGUCCUGUCAACCAGUCCCAUUUUUGACUUUCAGGUCCUGUCUCUCUUUUUAAAAAAUAAUUUAUUCACGUUAUAUCCCAUUAUCUACUCUGUCUUUCCUUAGUCCUCUCUGUCUCAGCCCUGGGUAUCACCUCCCAUCUCCCCCAGGAAGUCUAGGUGCAACUUCUCUCACUGAGGCCAGACAAGGUGGCCCAGAGAAGUGGUGAUUCACAGGCAGUCAACAAAUUCAGGGACAGCCCCUGCUCCAGUUCUUGGGAGGUUGGGUCCUGUCUUUCACUUAGUUUUGCUCAGCUCUGCAGUAGGUAGAGGUUGAAGUUCUCAGACUUUUCAUGUGUGAUACAUUAAGAGUUGUAGGGAAUCAAACGAGUCAACAUUGAAACUCUCUGUCUCUUUAGGAGUCAUCUGAAUGAUACAUGGAUGUUUUCCACUUUUGUCUCUAAAGGAAGUACAAGUUAAGCUUCUGUACUAGUGACCAACCAGUACAGGGUAUAGUCCUAGGUAGGACUUGCCCUCUGCUAGGAGAAAUUUUGGUUGUUACAACUGGUGGAAAACUGUUGUUCAUGGAUCUUAGGCAGAAACCCAUGCUGCUGUUAGAAUUCUAUAAUACACAGGAGAGUUGUGUAUUGGAAGCAAAUAAACCAAAUAGAAUCAAUAGGUUCAAAAUAGCAAGAGCACUAAGACUGAGAAUCCCUACCAUAAAUGACAUGCGAGCCUUGUACUCAUUACUUUGAUUUCUGUAGUAGUAAUCUGUAUAUAAAUAAUAAAAUCAACAUUAAUGUUCUAUAUUGACAUCAAUAUUAAUGUUAACAUAUAGUUUAAUAAAGUAGCAUUUCAUUACUACUAUUAGUAAUUCUUAUAUACCAGGAAAAUAUAUCAAUGUAAAACUGGGAGUGCCUAUAAUCCCAGCACUUGAGAUGGAAGUUCGAGAAUCAGAGGAAGCUCAAGGUCAUUCUAAGCUACACAGAAAGUUCAGACUGGCUUGUGGGUACACGAGACUCCAUCUCAGAUAAACAACAACCCCUCAAAGUAAACAUCAAAAGUCCCUCCAACAAUAACAUCAAACCCUUAGUAAGUAGAUUCAUGAAUUGCAUAUCACCACUGAUGUGUCUAUAAAAAAGAUAAAGAGAGUGGGGGUCUGUUCCAUGGAGGUAUACUCCAUGGAGGGAAGGUGGUGCCUCUGAGGGCCCUUGUUGAGGCAUCCCUUCCCCCUGAGGGACCGACCACAUGACAGUAUAGUACAGGAUAGAAUAGUUUAUUUAGCGCAUAGGGAGGGAGUCAAGAGGGUAGUAGAAGCCAAGAAAGGAAGAGAGGAG